RNAcentral lists this ribosomal RNA (497 nucleotides) under uncultured bacterium. Its description in RNAcentral is "partial 16S ribosomal RNA". It matches the Rfam family "Bacterial small subunit ribosomal RNA", at positions 28 to 507 of the family's 1533-position model. The record is from RNAcentral.
GAUGAACGCUGGCGGCGUGCCUAAUACAUGCAAGUCGAGCGAACGGACGAGAAGCUUGCUUCUCUGAUGUUAGCGGCGGACGGGUGAGUAACACGUGGAUAACCUACCUAUAAGACUGGGAUAACUUCGGGAAACCGGAGCUAAUACCGGAUAAUAUUUUGAACCGCAUGGUUCAAAAGUAAAAGACGGUCUUGCUGUCACUUAUAGAUGGAUCCGCGCUGCAUUAGCUAGUUGGUAAGGUAACGGCUUACCAAGGCAACGAUGCAUAGCCGACCUGAGAGGGUGAUCGGCCACACUGGAACUGAGACACGGUCCAGACUCCUACGGGAGGCAGCAGUAGGGAAUCUUCCGCAAUGGGCGAAAGCCUGACGGAGCAACGCCGCGUGAGUGAUGAAGGUCUUCGGAUCGUAAAACUCUGUCAUUAGGGAAGAACAUAUGUGUAAGUAACUGUGCACAUCUUGACGGUACCUAAUCAGAAAGCCACGGCUAACUACGUG